This 254-nucleotide ribosomal RNA is filed under the name uncultured bacterium. RNAcentral's name for it is "partial 16S ribosomal RNA". It matches the Rfam family "Bacterial small subunit ribosomal RNA", at positions 524 to 776 of the family's 1533-position model. The record is from RNAcentral.
CACGUAGGCACCAAGCGUUGUCCAGAUUUAUUGGGCGUAAAGAGCUCGUAGGCGGUUCGGUAAGUCGGGUGUGAAAACUUUGGGCUUAACCCAAAGCGUGCACUCGAUACUGCCAUGACUAGAGUUCGGUAGGGGAGUGGGGAAUUCCUAGUGUAGCGGUGAAAUGCGCAGAUAUUAGGAGGAACACCGGUGGCGAAGGCGCCACUCUGGGCCGAAACUGACGCUGAGGAGCGAAAGCGUGGGUAGCAAACAGG